GGCUGGCUCGAGUGCAGUGGUGUUUACACCUAAUUGAUCACAACCAGUUACAGAUUUCUUUGUUCCUUCUCCACUCCCACUGCUUCACUUGACCAGUCUUUA
Molecule: Y RNA, 102 nt
Filed under: Pongo abelii (Sumatran orangutan)
Lineage: Eukaryota; Metazoa; Chordata; Mammalia; Primates; Hominidae
Description: Y RNA (ENSPPYG00000031819.1)
Rfam family: Y RNA
About the family: Y RNAs are components of the Ro ribonucleoprotein particle (Ro RNP), in association with Ro60 and La proteins. The Y RNAs and Ro60 and La proteins are well conserved, but the function of the Ro RNP is not known.
Source: Rfam by way of RNAcentral